RNAcentral lists this transfer RNA (72 nucleotides) under Periweissella beninensis. RNAcentral describes it as "tRNA-Glu". It matches the Rfam family "tRNA". Rfam says of the family: Transfer RNA (tRNA) molecules are approximately 80 nucleotides in length. Their secondary structure includes four short double-helical elements and three loops (D, anti-codon, and T loops). The record is from RNAcentral. Lineage: Bacteria; Bacillati; Bacillota; Bacilli; Lactobacillales; Lactobacillaceae.
GUCCCGUUGGUCAAGUGGUUAAGACAUCGCCCUUUCACGGCGGUAUCACGAGUUCGAAUCUCGUACGGGACA